Molecule: ribosomal RNA, 469 nt
Filed under: uncultured organism
Description: partial 16S ribosomal RNA
Rfam family: Bacterial small subunit ribosomal RNA
Source: RNAcentral
ACUCCUACGGGAGGCAGCAGUGGGGAAUUUUGGACAAUGGGCGAAAGCCUGAUCCAGCAAUGCCGCGUGAGUGAAGAAGGCCUUCGGGUUGUAAAGCUCUUUUGUCAGGGAAGAAACGGUGAGAGCUAAUAUCUCUUGCUAAUGACGGUACCUGAAGAAUAAGCACCGGCUAACUACGUGCCAGCAGCCGCGGUAAUACGUAGGGUGCAAGCGUUAAUCGGAAUUACUGGGCGUAAAGCGUGCGCAGGCGGUUUUGUAAGUCUGAUGUGAAAUCCCCGGGCUCAACCUGGGAAUUGCAUUGGAGACUGCAAGGCUAGAAUCUGGCAGAGGGGGGUAGAAUUCCACGUGUAGCAGUGAAAUGCGUAGAUAUGUGGAGGAACACCGAUGGCGAAGGCAGCCCCCUGGGUCAAGAUUGACGCUCAUGCACGAAAGCGUGGGGAGCAAACAGGAUUAGAAACCCUAGUAGUCC